Molecule: small RNA, 2671 nt
Filed under: Theobroma cacao (cacao)
Lineage: Eukaryota; Viridiplantae; Streptophyta; Magnoliopsida; Malvales; Malvaceae
Description: sRNA Tc02v2_g028150
Source: RNAcentral
UUGAAAUGAAAUGUCUAUAUUUCAUCCGGCGCCGCAGCGCCAUAAAGGAGCUAAAAGCUCCCAAAACAAUAGACCUUGCGCCGCGGCUCCAAAACUCCAGUGCCGCGGCGCCGGAUGUGCACCAUUUCCAGAGAGGGCAGAGCUGCGGCUCUGACUCCCCAGCGCUGCCAACUCUAUAUUCCAGCAGCAUACAGCGCUGCGGCGCUGAUGCAAUAUUAUUUUUUUUUCAAUUUUGAAAAUUGGAAGUAAAAGGGUGUCAGGCAGCAGCCCCACCUCCUACAAAAACCUCCUUUUUCCCCCGUUUCAUUCAUUCAAACCCUAACCCUCAAAUUCCUAAAAUCCCUUCUCCCAAAUUUCCUACACCCAUGCAUAAAAUCCAUCCAAAAACUCCAUCUUUCCCUACAGGCAACAAGAAUCCAAGAGAAUAUUGUCAUCAUCAUCAUUCUUCUCAAGUUUAUGAAUGAAGAAGGAAUGAAGUGUGCAGGGGUGGAGUGGUGCAAAAGUGUGCUGACCAUGCUUCAAUCGUCUAAGCACAACAACAAGGUCAAAAAAAUCGCACGAGUUGCAAUUAAAUUGCAACUUUAUAAUGGAUCAGGAUCUUGGUGGACAAAAUCCCACGAUGCUCAAUGAUCUCCCGCAAAAUGAUGGACUAGAAGACCAUUAAAUACACGGUAAGGCAUAAAAUUUGCAGCAGGCCUUCAAGUUUGUAUUUUAAAUUUUGUUUGGAUUCUGUUUGAUUCACAAAAAAUGAUUUUCCUUGGUGUUUUUUUUUUUUUUGUGUUUGUUAGCUAAACAUGAAACACAAAAAUAUUUUACAAUCAAAGUGUUAAAUAAAUACAUAAUAACAUUUUUUAUUUAGUUAGGGCUCUUGAUACCCAUCGAAAAUAUAUUCAGAUUCUUUGUUUUUUUUUUCUUUUUCCUUUUUUCUUUUGUUAUAAUUUUAAGUUAAUUUCUUUAUUCUAAAAUUUAGUAGGUCUGCUUAUUUUGAUAGAGUUUACUGAGAUUGAUGGGAAAAAUUCUUGCCCCAUCAUUUUAUUCUUACAAUUUAGGUUUAAAAUUUAUGUGAAGAUUAGACCCUUAACUUAUAAUUUCUUUUCUAAGUAAUUAUGAAUUAAAUUUUAAAUCUCUUGCCAUUAGAUUUCGAUGUGAUGAUUAUUGAUUUUGAUUAGGAGGAUGGUUUAGGACUUGGAAGGAGCAAGAUUUGUGUGGGUUGAAUUGCAUGGCUUUUUCAAGAAAAUGGGUUCAAAAGUUAAGACGUUGAACAAAUGGGCUUUUAGAAGUGUUAUGCAUAGGAGGAAAAGAAAAGGAAAAAUAGAAAAAAAAAAAAAAAAAAAACAGGGCCAAGCAAAGAGAUGAGGUAAUUUUGUGAUAAAAAAUCCACCUCAAUAAUUUUUAACUGACGUGGUGAUGGAUCCCAAUGAGCUAAUAAUUUGACUAGCUUAGGUAACUAUCAAGGAGAGAAUUCUCAGAGAUAAUGAGGGUAACAGGUUGAUGUUCUUUUCUACAUCAAUGGGUGUUACAACAUCAAAUGUUGCUGAACUCCUUGCUGUCAGAUAUGUGUUUCAGCUUUUUUCUGCAUUGAGUUGGGUGCAAAGGUAUGAUUUGAUUAUUGAAAGUGAUUCUCAUAAUGCUAUUAAAUGAAGUUUGCAACCUGAAGAGGCUUUGUGGAAGUUCAGAGGUAUUGUAAUGCAGAUUGAAGCAUUAGAAAAGAAGGUGAAUGGAUGCAGUUUGCAACAGAUUCUGAGAUCCGGGAAUGAAGCAGCUGAUAAUCUAGCGAAAGCCGGGGUGCAAAGGGGAGAGGAUCUGAUUAGAUAAAGGGUACUGAUGCAGAGACGGAGGAGCAUUAGUAAGAAAGAGGUUGUAUGCGGUUAAGCAUGAUACAAGGCGGUUGGAUUGUUAGUGUUUUUGUGUCUGUCAGCAACAAAAUCUUUUUGUUAUUGCUGGGAUCUUUUGUUGAUAGCUAAUUUGUUUCCCUGUGUCUUUUUAAUUGGGAUGCAGGGUUGUUUUGUUUUUGAGUGCUGUGUGGUCUCUGUGGGAAAAGGGGUGGGAUGCUGUAGGUUUUUUUGUUCCCUGCAGUUCUGUACAGGGGUUGGCACCUAUGGCGUGGGUUGCCUGUAUGUAUUUGGCUGUAUAGUUUUAUGAUCAAUACAAAUCUUUGCACUUCAAAAAAAAAAAAGAAUUGCAGCGGAGGAAAACAGAAGCAAGGGCGCUGCAGUGUCAAGCCUACAGCGCCGCAGCUCUGUCUCCAUCAGCAGCAACCCCUCACCAAACAGAACCUCCAGGGCUGCAGCGCUGUCCAGCACUACAAACACUGCCUUUGGCAGUAAGCUCGGUCACUCCUUUACAAGACAGUAGCUAUAGCGCCGUGGCGCCAUGUUCCCAGCACUGCAGUGCUGUCCAGCGAAGCAACACUGGCUUUGGCAGUGAACUCAGCGCUGGGGCGCCAACAUUUAGAAGUCUGGAGUGGAGUGGUGUAGAAAGAUGCCUUUUUAGAGCUGAAAGGCAGAAGAGGCAGGGAUGCCAUUUCUUGUUUUUCAGUUUUGAUUUGUUUUCUUCUUACUCAUUUUCCCUGCAACCAAACAUAGCUUUAAUUCUCUCUCUCUCUCGCCUAUUGGACCUCUUAUUAACUAAGAUGCUUUUAGGGGAUAAGAAUAAGAUAUGUUUUCUGAAU